Molecule: long non-coding RNA, 792 nt
Organism: Humulus lupulus (European hop)
Lineage: Eukaryota; Viridiplantae; Streptophyta; Magnoliopsida; Rosales; Cannabaceae
Exons: 4
Source: RefSeq, a predicted model, not a curated record
AACAACAAAUGUCUUACUGAUAUUAUUGCUAAUUUUUGCUGGAUCACUUGUACUAUUUUCUAGUUUUAAAAUAUUGUAUCCUUUUUUCUGCCUCUUUCUCCUGUUGUUAUCUGCACAACACACUAGUCAGUCUUUGACGAUGUUGGCUUCUCAUUCUUAGUCUUUUUGUAUAAAUAGGCAUUCCAAGAUCUAAUUCAAUCGGAAGAGUUUCAGACGCUGCCACUAUUGCCACUGACAACUUUCCAAGAUCUAACUUUCUUAUAUGCUUUGUUGUCUACAUUCAUUUAGAGAAAUUAGCCCUUCAAUCUAAAUCUGUUGGUAAUAGCAGUUUUGCUGACUGGAUGAGAGCGAGACCAGAACUCUAUAGCAUUCUUCGCAGCUAGAAAAUUAUGCGAAAACUGAAGAAGCUAAAGUUGAGGAGCUUAUAAAGGCAGUUGCUGAUUCCGGUGCCAAAGUAAUUGUUAGUGGAGCAGCAGUUGGGGAGAUGGCACUUCAUUUCUGUGAGCGCUACAAGGAAAAAGCAGAGAAAAAGUGGGGUACAUGAUGUACUACCAUAUAAACCAACUGCUAAAGAACCAAAAUAUGCCACUUAAAACAGGCAUAUUUUAAUUUCAACUUAAUGGAUUCUUGUUCAUCUAAUGCAGAGCUUCUGAAGCAAGUAUAUUGAGAUGAUUUCUUUGGAGCAAUUCUUGACAACAUUUGUAGUUGAGGCCUUUAGAAUGGAAGAAUGUAUUUCACUAAUUUUUGUAUACAUUUCUUAUUUUGUAUUUAGUGAUAAAUGAAUCUGAAUUG